CCCUGCCCCGGGUCACACCUGGAGAGUUUCCAGUAUGCUACCAGUCUCGGCUACAGGAGGGAGAGUCAAGCAGAGGCAUUCCCAUUCCAUUCCUAGCUUGGCCAGUGGCUAGCGAGUGGAAGGCAAUCUGCUACAGGU
Molecule: small nucleolar RNA, 138 nt
Filed under: Ornithorhynchus anatinus (platypus)
Lineage: Eukaryota; Metazoa; Chordata; Mammalia; Monotremata; Ornithorhynchidae
Source: RNAcentral